RNAcentral lists this ribosomal RNA (442 nucleotides) under uncultured bacterium. Its description in RNAcentral is "partial 16S ribosomal RNA". It matches the Rfam family "Bacterial small subunit ribosomal RNA", at positions 338 to 795 of the family's 1533-position model. The record is from RNAcentral.
CCUACGGGAGGCAGCAGUGGGGGAUAUUGCACAAUGGGGGAAACCCUGAUGCAGCGACGCCGCGUGGGCGAAGAAGUAUUUCGGUAUGUAAAGCCCUAUCAGCAGGGAAGAAGAAAUGACGGUACCUGAGUAAGAAGCACCGGCUAAAUACGUGCCAGCAGCCGCGGUAAUACGUAUGGUGCAAGCGUUAUCCGGAUUUACUGGGUGUAAAGGGAGCGCAGGCGGCACGGCAAGCCUGAUGUGAAAGCCCGCGGCCCAACCGCGGGACUGCAUUGGGAACUACCGGGCUGGAGUGCCGGAGAGGUAGGCGGAAUUCCUAGUGUAGCGGUGAAAUGCGUAGAUAUUAGGAGGAACACCAGUGGCGAAGGCGGCUUACUGGACUGUAACUGACGUUGAGGCUCGAAAGCGUGGGGAGCAAACAGGAUUAGAUACCCAGGUAGUC